RNAcentral lists this ribosomal RNA (465 nucleotides) under uncultured bacterium. RNAcentral's name for it is "bacterial SSU rRNA". It matches the Rfam family "Bacterial small subunit ribosomal RNA", at positions 49 to 504 of the family's 1533-position model. The record is from RNAcentral.
UAAUACAUGCAAGUCGUGCGGACCUUUUAAAAGCUUGCUUUUAAAAGGUUAGCGGCGGACGGGUGAGUAACACGUGGGCAACCUGCCUGUAAGACUGGGAUAACGCCGGGAAACCGGGGCUAAUACCGGAUAGUUUUUUCCUCCGCAUGGAGGAAAAAGGAAAGGCGGCUUCGGCUGCCACUUACAGAUGGGCCCGCGGCGCAUUAGCUAGUUGGUGGGGUAAUGGCCUACCAAGGCGUUUACGGGUAGCCGGCCUGAGAGGGCGACCGGCCACACUGGGACUGAGACACGGCCCAGACUCCUACGGGAGGCAGCAGUGGGGAAUAUUGCACAAUGGGCGCAAGCCUGAUGCAGCGACGCCGCGUGGGGGAUGACGGCCUUCGGGUUGUAAACCUCUUUCAGUAGGGAACAAGGCCUCCUUGAUGGGGGUGGAGGGUACCUGCAGAAGAAGUACCGGCUAACUAC